This 65-nucleotide microRNA precursor is filed under the name Oryza glaberrima (African rice). RNAcentral's name for it is "pre miRNA MIR2907". It matches the Rfam family "MIR2907 microRNA precursor family". The record is from RNAcentral. Lineage: Eukaryota; Viridiplantae; Streptophyta; Magnoliopsida; Poales; Poaceae.
CAGCGCCCCUUCCUCCGCCCACUCAGCGGUGACGUGGCAGCCGAGUGAGGGCCUCGGGGUGACGU